RNAcentral lists this ribosomal RNA (800 nucleotides) under uncultured bacterium. Its description in RNAcentral is "bacterial SSU rRNA". It matches the Rfam family "Bacterial small subunit ribosomal RNA", at positions 8 to 840 of the family's 1533-position model. The record is from RNAcentral.
AGAGUUUGAUCAUGGCUCAGGAUGAACGCUGGCGGCGUGCCUAACACAUGCAAGUCGAGUGAUCUUCUUCGGAAGAGAGCGGCGGACGGGUGAGUAACGCGUGGGUAACCUGCCUCAUACACAUGGAUAACAUACCGAAAGGUAUGCUAAUACAAGAUGAUAUAAGAGAUUUGCAUGGAUUUCUUAUCAAAGCUCCGGCGGUAUGAGAUGGACCCGCGUCUGAUUAGCUAGUUGGUAAGGUAACGGCUUACCAAGGCGACGAUCAGUAGCCGACCUGAGAGGGUGAUCGGCCACAUUGGAACUGAGACACGGUCCAAACUCCUACGGGAGGCAGCAGUGGGGAAUAUUGCACAAUGGGCGAAAGCCUGAUGCAGCAACGCCGCGUGAGCGAUGAAGGCCUUCGGGUCGUAAAGCUCUGUCCUCAAGGAAGAUAAUGACGGUACUUGAGGAGGAAGCCCCGGCUAACUACGUGCCAGCAGCCGCGGUAAUACGUAGGGGGCUAGCGUUAUCCGGAUUUACUGGGCGUAAAGGGUGCGUAGGUGGUUUCUUAAGUCAGGAGUGAAAGGCUACGGCUCAACCGUAGUAAGCUCUUGAAACUGGGAAACUUGAGUGCAGGAGAGGAAAGUGGAAUUCCUAGUGUAGCGGUGAAAUGCGUAGAUAUUAGGAGGAACACCAGUAGCGAAGGCGGCUUUCUGGACUGUAACUGACACUGAGGCACGAAAGCGUGGGGAGCAAACAGGAUUAGAUACCCUGGUAGUCCACGCCGUAAACGAUGAGUACUAGGUGUCGGGGGUUACCCC